Molecule: transfer RNA, 79 nt
Filed under: Helianthus annuus (common sunflower)
Lineage: Eukaryota; Viridiplantae; Streptophyta; Magnoliopsida; Asterales; Asteraceae
Description: tRNA-Gly
Rfam family: tRNA
About the family: Transfer RNA (tRNA) molecules are approximately 80 nucleotides in length. Their secondary structure includes four short double-helical elements and three loops (D, anti-codon, and T loops).
Source: RNAcentral
GCACCAGUUGUCUAGUGGUAGAAUAGUACCCUGCCACGGUACAGACCCGGGUUCGAUUCCCGGCUUCCCGGCUGGUGCA